AGAGUUUGAUCCUGGCUCAGAUUGAACGCUGGCGGCAUGCCUUACACAUGCAAGUCGAACGGCAGCACGGGAGCAAUCCUGGUGGCGAGUGGCGAACGGGUGAGUAAUACAUCGGAACGUGCCCAGUAGUGGGGGAUAACCCGGCGAAAGCCGGACUAAUACCGCAUACGACCUGAGGGUGAAAGCGGGGGACUCGCAAGGGCCUCGCGUUAUUGGAGCGGCCGAUGUCAUAUUAGCUAGUGGGUGGGGUAAAGGCCUACCAAGGCGACGAUCUGUAGCUGGUCUGAGAAGACGACCAGCCACACUGGGACUGAGACACGGCCCACACUCCUACGGGAGGCAGCAGUGGGGAAUUUUGGACAAUGGGCGCAAGCCUGAUCCAGCCAUGCCGCGUGCGGAAAGAAGGCCUUCGGGUUGUAAACCGCUUUUGUCGGAGAAGAAACGCUUCUGGUUAAUACCUAGAAGUAAUGACGGUACCCGAAGAAUAAGCACCGGCUACUACGUGCCAGCAGCCGCGGUAAUACGUAGGGUGCAAGCGUUAAUCGGAAUUACUGGGCGUAAAGCGUGCGCAGGCGGCUUUGCAAGACAGAUGUGAAAUCCCCGGGCUUAACCUGAGAACUGCA
This 623-nucleotide ribosomal RNA is filed under the name uncultured bacterium. Its description in RNAcentral is "bacterial SSU rRNA". It matches the Rfam family "Bacterial small subunit ribosomal RNA", at positions 8 to 625 of the family's 1533-position model. The record is from RNAcentral.